RNAcentral lists this ribosomal RNA (256 nucleotides) under uncultured bacterium. Its description in RNAcentral is "partial 16S ribosomal RNA". It matches the Rfam family "Bacterial small subunit ribosomal RNA", at positions 524 to 776 of the family's 1533-position model. The record is from RNAcentral.
UACGUAGGGUCCGAGCGUUUGUCCGGAAUUACUGGGCGUAAAGAGCUCGUAGGUGGUUUGUCGCGUUGUCCGUGAAAACUCACAACUCAAUUGUGGGCGUGCGGGCGAUACGGGCAGACUGGAGUACUGCAGGGGAGACUGGAAUUCCUGGUGUAGCGGUGGAAUGCGCAGAUAUCAGGAGGAACACCGGUGGCGAAGGCGGGGUCUCUGGGCAGUAACUGACGCUGAGGAGCGAAAGCGUGGGGGAGCGAACAGG